This 253-nucleotide ribosomal RNA is filed under the name uncultured bacterium. Its description in RNAcentral is "partial 16S ribosomal RNA". It matches the Rfam family "Bacterial small subunit ribosomal RNA", at positions 524 to 776 of the family's 1533-position model. The record is from RNAcentral.
UACAGAGGGUGCGAGCGUUGUUCGGAAUUAUUGGGCGUAAAGCGCUGGUAGGUGGCCUGACAAGUCGCGUGUGAAAGCUCCCGGCUCAACCGGGAAAGUGCGCGCGAAACUGGCGGGCUUGAGUGCCGGAGAGGACCGCGGAAUUCCCGGUGUAGAGGUGAAAUUCGUAGAUAUCGGGAGGAACACCAGAGGCGAAGGCGGCGGUCUGGAAGGUGACUGACACUGAGCAGCGAAAGCGUGGGGAGCAAACAGG